CAUCAGAUCCAUCAUCAGAUCCAUCAGAUCCAUCAUCACAUCCAUCAAAUCCAUCAUCAGAUACAUCAAAUCCAUCAGCUCUACCAUGUCCGGCACCUAUAAUCAUCGGAGUGGUUGUCUUACUCUCGCUGACUCUGCUGUUGGUGAUCACCGCUCUUUCCUUCUACUGUAAGGCCAGCAGGGGGCAGAAGCCGGACAGACCGAGGAACAUUGUGCUGGUUUAUUAUAAGCGUUUUUUUUCUGCAGCUGAAGGAGCGCUGACUGAAGAGGAAGGAGCACAGAGAGCAGAGUAACACCUCCAAGGAGCUCAUCUCACAUGCUGAUGGAUUUUAUUAUUCAACUUCCCUUUAACUGUUGUCUAAGCCAUGUCUUCCCAUCUUUGGGUCACCUGGUUUCCUUAUGUCAUAACAGUGCGUUCCAUUUACCUUGGAACUCAGAAACCAGAGCUGGGAAUUAUGUAACACCUGAGUUGACUGCUUCAAUUUAACAAGUCUCAUUUUCAUUGUGGGGUUAGCUCUAGCCAGGUUAGCUACUGUUAGCAAUACCAGUUGAUAACAACGCAAUACGCUAAUUGUUCAUAUAAUUCAAUAGCAUAACAUGUCCACACAUAGAUGAUAAAUAGGACUGUGUGUAUGACUGAUUUAAUGAGACACAAAUUAGACAGAAGAGCGAAUAAACUGUAUGUUACUACAGCUUUCACUGCAGGGGACACUUCAUGGGGCAGCCAUGUUGGAUUAUGAGCUUGGAGUAGUGUGAGGUCGUCCUAGUUUGUUCCCAACUCGGACAUCCUAGUUCAGGGGGUGUUUCCAACUUUGACCUCGGAAAAUCCAACCUCUUACUUCAAAUGGAAUGCACUGUAAUGCUUAUAACCUCAACCCUGUUAUGCACAAUCACACUAUAAACAUUUCUGUCAGGAGAACCUGGGCUAUCAGGAUAUGUAUGCUGCAGGGAUGUCACAUUAAUGUAUAAACUGUUAUAUUACUAUAAAGACAAGAGAAAAAACUAAACAGAAAUGUAUUGAAAUCACACAGAUAAAUAAUUAUUAUUAAGUUAUGACAGAACACUAAACACAGAGAAAUCUAGUACUAUUACUACCUUAAUAAAGUACUUUCAGGUGUUUGCUGGAGGAUCAACACAGAGAGAUGAAAAGAUGAAUAUCUGUGAUAAAUGUUUCUCUAUUAUCCGUUCAGAGGAAAUAAAACCUCUUUAAUAAACUGUGAAACUCUG
Molecule: long non-coding RNA, 1227 nt
Organism: Perca flavescens (yellow perch)
Lineage: Eukaryota; Metazoa; Chordata; Actinopteri; Perciformes; Percidae
Exons: 2
Source: RefSeq, a predicted model, not a curated record